This 390-nucleotide ribosomal RNA is filed under the name uncultured bacterium. Its description in RNAcentral is "bacterial SSU rRNA". It matches the Rfam family "Bacterial small subunit ribosomal RNA", at positions 28 to 419 of the family's 1533-position model. The record is from RNAcentral.
GACGAACGCUGGCGGCGUGCUUAACACAUGCAAGUCGAGCGGUAAGGCCCUUUCGGGGGUACACGAGCGGCGAACGGGUGAGUAACACGUGGGUGACCUGCCCUCAGCUCUGGGAUAAGCCUGGGAAACCGGGUCUAAUACUGGAUAUGACUCCAUGACGCAUGUUGUGGGGUGGAAAGCCUUGUGCGGCUGAGGAUGGGCCCGCGGCCUAUCAGCUUGUUGGUGGGGUGAUGGCCUACCAAGGCGACGACGGGUAGCCGGCCCGAGAGGGCGACCGGCCACACUGGGACUGAGACACGGCCCAGACUCCUACGGGAGGCAGCAGUGGGGAAUCUUGCGCAAUGGGCGAAAGCCUGACGCAGCGACGCCGCGUGAGGGAUGACGGCCUGG